ACCUGAGAAGAAGCACUAAAUGAGCAUGAGCUCCACUGGGCCAGUAAAUCAUCUACAGUUUAUUCUUGUUUAUUAUUGAUUAUUCAACUAUGCCAUCGCGUCUCCAACCUCACAAUUAACUGUGAUCGCAGGGUGCGAACUGGGGGAGGCGCUGUUGCUGCUCUUAUGCAGCGCUUCCUCUGCUGAGCUACCAGAGAUUUACUAAUGUAACCUGAAAAGUGGAACCCCCAGCUCAGCCAAUCAUAUCAGACCUCAUAAGAUGUAAGCCAAUCAUAUCAGACCUUGUAAGCAGUGAGCCAAUCAUAUCAAACCACUCACUAUAUGGUCAGUCUGCGAGUUGGGCCUCAUCUCCUGAAUGGCUCGUCCUGAUUGGCCGUCGAUGCAGGAGCGGGACCCGCAGAUGACAGAGAUGUGGAUUGAGGGGUCGAUCAUCUCCAUGCGCUGCAUCAUGGGCCGCUGAGCCCAGCCGUACGGGAUCGUCAUGUUCUUAAAGGCGGUCUCACCACUGCUGGACACCAGACACAGAGAACGAAGAAACACAGAAAAUCAUCAACCAGCUUCUAAGACUGAACUUUGGAGGUGUGUCUGCAGAUUCUUUGAGGAGCUGAAAGAGAGUCUCCUGAACAGAAUGGAAGCUGGAAUAAAGGUGAAGAGUGACUCACUGACUCACACAGCUGAGAGUAGAUUAGCUGUGGAGGAUUCUGUUUUCUGCUGAAAAAUGAAUAACUGAAAGUGAAA
Colossoma macropomum (tambaqui) is the source of this 738-nucleotide long non-coding RNA. RefSeq lists it as uncharacterized. The record is from RefSeq and is a predicted model, not a curated record. The transcript has 2 exons. NCBI's taxonomy places the organism in Eukaryota, Metazoa, Chordata, Actinopteri, Characiformes, Serrasalmidae.